This 445-nucleotide ribosomal RNA is filed under the name Citrobacter freundii. Its description in RNAcentral is "partial 23S ribosomal RNA". It matches the Rfam family "Bacterial large subunit ribosomal RNA", at positions 1302 to 1746 of the family's 2925-position model. Lineage: Bacteria; Pseudomonadati; Pseudomonadota; Gammaproteobacteria; Enterobacterales; Enterobacteriaceae. The record is from RNAcentral.
AUAAGUAACGAUAAUGCGGGUGAAAAACCCGCACGCCGGAAGACCAAGGGUUCCUGUCCAACGUUAAUCGGGGCAGGGUGAGUCGACCCCUAAGGCGAGGCCGAAAGGCGUAGUCGAUGGGAAACAGGUUAAUAUUCCUGUACUUGGUGUUACUGCGAAGGGGGGACGGAGAAGGCUAUGUUAGCCGGGCGACGGUUGUCCCGGUUUAAGCAUGUAGGCGGAGGUUCCAGGUAAAUCCGGUACCUUUUUAACGCUGAGGUGUGAUGACGAGGCACUACGGUGCUGAAGUAACAAAUGCCCUGCUUCCAGGAAAAGCCUCUAAGCAUCAGGUAACACGAAAUCGUACCCCAAACCGACACAGGUGGUCAGGUAGAGAAUACCAAGGCGCUUGAGAGAACUCGGGUGAAGGAACUAGGCAAAAUGGUGCCGUAACUUCGGGAGAAGG